CCUGGUUGAUCUUGCCAGUAGUCAUAUGCUUGUCUCACAGAUUAAGCCAUGCAAGUGAAAGUACAUAUGUAAAUAAUAUAUUGAAACUGCGAACGGCUCAUUAAAACAGUUAUAAUCUACUUGAUGUUUUUAAUAUAAGGAUAACUACGGAAAAUCUGUAGCUAAUACUUGUGAAAAUACCUUUUGAUAUAUACAUAUGUAUGUAUCAUUAAGGUAUGUAUUUGUUAGAUAUAAGAAUAAAAUAAAUAUAAUUGAAUUAUAACAAAGAAGAAACACAUAAAAUAUGUGUAUUAUCAAUCGAGUAUCUGACCUAUCAGCUUUUGAUGUUAGGGUAUUGACCUAACAUGGCUAUGACGGGUAACGGGGAAUUAGAGUUCGAUUCCGGAGAGGGAGCCUGAGAAAUAGCUACCACAUCUAAGGAAGGCAGCAGGCGCGUAAAUUACCCAAUUCUAAAAAAGAGAGGUAGUGACAAGAAAUAACAAUACAAUAUCGAAAAAUGAUUUUGUAAUUGGAAUGAUAGGAAUUUACAAGGUUCCUAGAGAAACAAUUGGAGGGCAAGUCUGGUGCCAGCAGCCGCGGUAAUUCCAGCUCCAAUAGCAUAUAUUAAAAUUGUUGCAGUUAAAACGUUCGUAGUUGAAUAUUAAAGAAUCCGAUGUUUCAUUUAAACUGGUUUGGGAAAACCAAAUAUAUUAUAUAUUUUGCUUUGUUCAAAAUAAGGUUUUCUAAUAAAUUAUGUUUUUAUCAGAUAUGACAGAAUCUUUUUUAAAAUCUCUUCAAUAUGCUUUUAUUGCUUUUGAGAGGUUUUGUUACUUUGAGUAAAAUUAAGUGUUCAUAACAGACGGGUAGUCAUGAUUGAGUUCAUUGUGUUUGAAUACUACAGCAUGGAAUAACAAAUAUGAAUAAGCUAAUUAUUUUUUUUUUUCAUAAUUUUUUUUGAUAUUCUUAUUAGCUUAGUUACGAUUAAUAGGAGUAGCUUUGGGGGCAUUCGUAUUCAGAUGUCAGAGGUGAAAUUCUAAGAUUUUCUGGAGACGGACUACUGCGAAAGCAUUUGCCUAAUCUAUUUCCAUUAAUCAAGAACGAAAGUUAAGGGAGUGAAGACGAUCAGAUACCGUCGUAAUCUUAACCAUAAACUAUACCGACUAGGUGUUGGAUGAAUAUAAAAAAUAUAUAAAUAUGUAGCAUUUCUUAGGGAAUGUUGAUUUUAUAUUAGAAUUGCUUCCUUCAGUACCUUAUGAGAAAUCAAAGUCUUUGGGUUCUGGGGCGAGUAUUCGCGCAAGCGAGAAAGUUAAAAGAAUUGACGGAAGGGCACCACCAGGCGUGGAGCUUGCGGCUUAAUUUGACUCAACACGGGAAAACUCACUAGUUUAAGACAAGAGUAGGAUUGACAGAUUAAUAGCUCUUUCUUGAUUUCUUGGAUGGUGAUGCAUGGCCGUUUUUAGUUCGUGAAUAUGAUUUGUCUGGUUAAUUCCGAUAACGAACGAGAUCUUAACCUGCUAAUUAGCGGUAAGUACACUAUAUUUUUAUUUGAAAUUGAAUAUAGGUAAUUAUACAUGUUUAUUCAGUGUUCAAAUUAGGAUAUUUUUUUUAUUAAAAUAUUCUUUUCCCUGUUCUACUAUAAUAAUUUGUUUUUUUUUACUCUAUUUCUCUCUUCUUUUAAGAAUGUACUUGUUUGAUUAAAUAAAGCUUCUUAGAGGAACAGUGUGUAUCUAACACAAGGAAGUUUAAGGCAACAACAGGUCUGUGAUGUCCUUAGAUAAACUAGGCUGCACGCGUGCUACAAUGAUAUAUAUAACAAGUUGUUAAAAAUGUACUUAUAAAUAAGUGUGUACAGUUUUUCCUGUACUGAAAAGUAUAGGUAAUCUUUAUCAGUAUAUAUCGUAAUUGGGAUAGAUUAUUGCAAUUAUUAAUCUUGAACGAGGAAUGCCUAGUAAGCAUGAUUCAUUAGAUUGUGCUGACUACGUCCCUGCCCUUUGUACACACCGCCCGUCGCUCCUACCGAUUGAAAGAUAUGAUAAAUUGUUUGGAUAUGAAUUAAAAUAAUGAAAUUUUAUAUUUCUGAUUUUUUCUAGAAGAACUGUAAAUCCUAUCUUUUAAAGGAAGGAGAAGUCGUAACAAGGUUUCCGUAGGUGAACCUGCGGAAG
RNAcentral lists this ribosomal RNA (2141 nucleotides) under Plasmodium falciparum 397.1. RNAcentral describes it as "SSU rRNA". It matches the Rfam family "Eukaryotic small subunit ribosomal RNA". Lineage: Eukaryota; Apicomplexa; Aconoidasida; Haemosporida; Plasmodiidae. The record is from RNAcentral.